CCUACGUGGGGCAGCAGUGGGGAAUAUUGCGCCAUGGGCGAAAGCCUGACGCAGCGACGCCGCGUGAGGGAUGAAGGUCUUCGGAUCGUAAACCUCUGUCAGCAGGGAAGAACGGUCACUGUGCUAAUCAUCAGUGAAUUGACGGUACCUGCAAAGGAAGCACCGGCUAACUCCGUGCCAGCAGCCGCGGUAAUACGGAGGGGGCGUGCGUUAAUCGGAAUUACUGGGCGUAAAGCGCUCGUAGGCGGUAUGUCAAGUCAAGGGGGAAAUCCCCGCGCUCAACGUGGGAAGUGCCGUUGAAACGGGCAGCAUGGAGAGUGCGAGAGGAUAGGGGAA
RNAcentral lists this ribosomal RNA (336 nucleotides) under uncultured bacterium. RNAcentral's name for it is "partial 16S ribosomal RNA". It matches the Rfam family "Bacterial small subunit ribosomal RNA", at positions 338 to 666 of the family's 1533-position model. The record is from RNAcentral.